GUAGGGUGCGAGCGUUAAUCGGAAUUACUGGGCGUAAAGCGUGCGCAGGCGGUUAUAUAAGUCAGACGUGAAAUCCCCGGGCUCAACCUGGGAACUGCGUUUGAGACUGUAUGACUAGAGGAUGGCAGAGGGGGGUAGAAUUCCACGUGUAGCAGUGAAAUGCGUAGAGAUGUGGAGGAAUACCGAUGGCGAAGGCAGCCCCCUGGGCUAUUACUGACGCUCAUGCACGAAAGCGUGGGGAGCAAAC
This 247-nucleotide ribosomal RNA is filed under the name uncultured Rhodocyclaceae bacterium. Its description in RNAcentral is "partial 16S ribosomal RNA". It matches the Rfam family "Bacterial small subunit ribosomal RNA", at positions 527 to 773 of the family's 1533-position model. The record is from RNAcentral. Lineage: Bacteria; Pseudomonadati; Pseudomonadota; Betaproteobacteria; Rhodocyclales; Rhodocyclaceae.